UGACAAAAAAAUUGAAAAAAAAUUCUAAAAACAGUCCAGAAUGCGCUUUUUUAAGGGGGUGAUAAGUUUUCAAAAGAAUUUUCAUUUUUUCAAAAUUUGACCCUUGGGUGUUGACUUGUGUUACAUUUGCAAUAUGAAAAUCAAUGGUGAAGCGCGCUCGCCAUCUAUAGGAUUUUUGGGGUGUGACACUUGGCAUUUGCCAUAUGAAAUUUUCAAUAUGAUUUGGAUGAAUGUGGACCGAAUUGGGUGGUAUUGUCAUUAGGGUUUAUGAUUCGUGCGGUGCCAAUAUGUCCCCAUUCAUUUUUGUCCAUUUGGAGGGGGUCUUCCCUUACUCUGAAUAGAGGUCCUGUAUGAGCCUACUGUGGAGGAGAACAUAAAAUGGACAGCCAUCCAAAGCUGGUGCUAAUAUAGCCAGUGUAUAUAUAGCCAAUGAGUAACAUAUUGUCACACAUACCAGGAUCCAGGGAAAUCUGUUGUGUUAUAGGGUCAGCCAUAUGAUGCCCCUGGAGAAAAUUAGGAUUAAGUGCCUUGCUCAAGGGCACAUCAACAGAUUUUUUCCCUUAUCGGCUCGGGAAAUUGUACCACCAACCUUUCAGUUACCGGCCCAAUGCUCUACCCGCUAGGCUACCUGCCGCAAGGCAUGUCUACACUUUUUGAAUCAUAAAUGAGUUGGUUUCAGGGAAUUUCCAUGAUUAUAUUGUUGGCUAAGCUUGUGGUUUAAAUUAUUAUCGUCACUAGUUUGAGCUAGUGCGGCUGGAACCUGACUAAUCAAAUAGUUGAAACUAUGUCAAAUAAAACCACAGUGUUGCUUUUGGCAAAUAUAUAAAUCCUUCUAGAGACAUAUGGUAGCAGCUUUUUUCAGUUGUUUCAACACAAUGGAUCUCUUCAACAAAGACGGAGCUGCCUAGUUGAUUUAUUAUUUUGUUUACACAAGUUAUUUCAGUUUCGGAGUUCAGAGAGGAACAUUUUCAGUGAUGAAAUGGCAGAUGGGUGUUACACACAGUCAGAAAGCCUAUCCUACUGUAGUGGGAAAUAUCCGGCCAAGUCAUCCCCCUGCAACAUUCCAAGGAUUAGAUGGCUGCCCAACCCUUGGUUUACUCAUUGACACUGGCUAUAUUAGCACCAGCUUCGGAUGUCUGUCCAUUUUAUGUUCUCCUCCACAGUAGGCUCAUACAGGACCUCUACAACUAUCUUUGAUUUUGUGUUUUUUUUUUAAAUCAGAAAAUAAUUGUAAAAGAUGGAGCUACUGCGGACUGCACUUCUUGUUGUGUUUAUCACAACAGCAUUCACAAAACCGUUUGGCAGGCCUGGACACCAUAAUGGCCAUAAAGCAUCAAAUCCAUUGAAUAGGUUGAAAUGGUUCGAGUGGGGUCACUCUUCUGAGGAUGCCAUCAGACACAGCAAUGAAAGAGGCCCGGAAUCACCAAAGUCCUUUGAUUCUUCAGUAUCAAUGGAGUCUUCCUCAGAAUCUGCAGAAUCCAGCCAGUCCUCAGAAUCUGAUUCAUCAAGUUCAGAGGAGAUCUUCCCUGAGAGGACGACACCUGGACCAACUGCUCCAACCACAGUGAACCCACCCACUGCUGCCAUGUCAACUAUCCCACCGGUGAUAGAAAUGUCCACGAAUGGGCCAGUCAUCAAUGAAACGACACCUUCGCCAGGGAACGUUACUGCAUGUGUCACUGAGGACAUUAUAACUCCCGCUCCACCAACUCCCGCGCCACCAACUCCCACUCCACCAACUCCCCCUCCAGUCACAGAGAGCAGAGGAGACAGUCUUUAAAUGUUUAUAAAUAUUAGUCAGAAUUCAAGCUAAAUAAUUCCAAAGAGUUUAUCAUUAUUUGUUGUAUGGAAAAUUUACUUGAAUGUAUUUACAGUUUUGAAUGGAUUUAUAGCUUUUGUUGUCAGCUUCAGAAUAGUAUUACAGGUAAAUUCCCAAAUGGAAAAGAGUAAUGAAAAACAAAUAAGAAUCUUGUAUGGCGUAAGAUUUUUGUUUUUAUACAAAAAUCUAAUGAGUAUCUGGUAAGAUUUUGUAUGUUUUGCCUUAUGUCAGUAGUGUAUUUGAAUAUGUCUUGACUUAUAUGACUACGGUGACAUACACAAUUGUGGUGGAUUUUCCACAUCAGGGGUCUCCAACCUAUUCCAGCAUGAGAACAUUAUUUUAACUUUCAAAUAGGCACAUUCUUCUCUUUUCCUUCAUCCUGCAAGUCUUCCCUAGGUCCUUGGUGUACAACAUGUUUUCUGUUAAUAUACCUGGUAAAAUGAUGUUUAAUAAACAACUCUAAGAGGGCCCCCUAAAAUGA
This is a long non-coding RNA of Salmo salar (Atlantic salmon), 2300 nucleotides long. RefSeq lists it as uncharacterized. The record is from RefSeq and is a predicted model, not a curated record. Lineage: Eukaryota; Metazoa; Chordata; Actinopteri; Salmoniformes; Salmonidae.